AUACGUAGGGGGCGAGCGUUGUCCGGAAUGAUUGGGCGUAAAGGGCGCGUAGGCGGCCCGGUAAGUCUGGAGUGAAAGUCCUGUUUUUAAGAUGGGAAUUGCUUUGGAUACUGUCGGGCUUGAGUGCAGGAGAGGUAAGUGGAAUUCCCAGUGUAGCGGUGAAAUGCGUAGAGAUUGGGAGGAACACCAGUGGCGAAGGCGACUUACUGGACUGUAACUGACGCUGAGGCGCGAAAGUGUGGGGAGCAAACAGGAUUAGAUACCCUGGUAGUCCACACUGUAAACGAUGAAUGCUAGGUGUAGGGGGUAUCGACCCCUUCUGUGCCGCAGUAAACACAAUAAGCAUUCCGCCUGGGGAGUACGGCCGCAAGGUUGAAACUCAAAUGAAUUGACGGGG
This 397-nucleotide ribosomal RNA is filed under the name uncultured bacterium. Its description in RNAcentral is "partial 16S ribosomal RNA". It matches the Rfam family "Bacterial small subunit ribosomal RNA", at positions 523 to 918 of the family's 1533-position model. The record is from RNAcentral.